Long non-coding RNA from Quercus robur (English oak), 366 nucleotides. RefSeq lists it as uncharacterized. The transcript is spliced from 2 exons. NCBI's taxonomy places the organism in Eukaryota, Viridiplantae, Streptophyta, Magnoliopsida, Fagales, Fagaceae. The record is from RefSeq and is a predicted model, not a curated record.
CCCAAAAAUUUCAGCCCUUAAAAAACAAAGCUCAAAGCUUACAGCUAUCAAUCAACCGUGAAGCAGCUUUUUAUAGAAUUUGAUAACAAAGAUGAAACGGGUUCGCAAUUGGCCUCAAUAACAAUAAGAAUAAUGUAGGCUCUUCAAACCAAUUUGGAUGGAAAAGCUAAGCAGUAUAAAGAUCCUACUUUGACCCAUUUAUGUCUCAUGAAUAAUAUUCAUUAUAUGGUCAGAUCUAUGCGCAGGUCAGAAGCCAAGGAUUUGUUAGGGGAUGAUUGGGUGUAGAGACAACCGGCAUUAUCAAAAAGGAAAAAAAAAAAACCCAAAAAUUUCAGCCCUUAAAAAACAAAGCUCAAAUCGUAAACU